RNAcentral lists this long non-coding RNA (238 nucleotides) under Homo sapiens (human). RNAcentral describes it as "HSALNT0259154". The record is from RNAcentral. Lineage: Eukaryota; Metazoa; Chordata; Mammalia; Primates; Hominidae.
GCAUUGACAGGCCGGUAUAAACCCCCGGCUCGGAUCGAGCUAUGCCGGAUGCUGCCUUAAGCCUUAUGAGGUCGCCACGGAACCGCAGGGAUUCUCCAAGAAACCUGAACAAGGAAAGAUUAGAGAUAGAAAAAGAGAGAGAGAGAGACCAGUCUGCCAGAAACCAGGACUCAGUCCCCCAGCAUCCUGGGAUGUGGACUGACUCAAGGGAUGGCCCCUGUCAGGGCCACUUCCCUCC